UCAAAAUUCAAUAUUAUUAUUGUUUGUAAUAUCAUGAUAAAUUCGAUAUUAUUGUAGUUUGUAAUACCACGCCCGAUGUCCUAAACAAAUCACAUACACGUGUCGUAUAUCAUUAUAUGGUGACAUAUAUUUAUAAGGGGAAUAGAUACCGGAAAUGCAUCCAGGAGUUGAAGAUCGCGAGAGUGCUCGUUCUAAUUGUACGCGUAAUGAAGGUGCGAUCGUAGUCGAAGGCGAAAUCACCGUGUACACGACAACGCACUGGCAGUCCAUUCCUUCUCCAUUUCGAUGUCUCGAUAAAUUAAUUUGGAAUAAAAUUAUAAACACUUCUGAAAAGUUAGAAAUUCAUAUAGUAAACGAAAGAAGAUUGCUAGCGGACAUCGCUCUGGAGAAACAAAGGACGAUGAACUUGAAAGGACGCUAUGAAUAUCGAUUCGGUGUUUACAUAUUGGCUCAUGCGCUUUGCUUGCAAUUUCUCGAUAAACAUAUUUCAAAAGCAGAGAAUAAAUUCUCUUAUAUCGCAAUAUUUUUUUAAUAUAUCAAAAAAAAAAAUAGAGUGCAAUUUGUUGGAAUAUAAAAUAACUUGAUAUAUAAAAAAAAAAUAGAAUUAUUUGUAAAUUUAUUUGAAUUGAUUAAUAAAAAUUUGUAUGAUUCAUGACUGCCCACUAAUGUAAUGAUAUAAUCCAUUAAUGGAAUAACUUUGAAAUCAAAUUUUUUUAGCACAGACUUUAAAACCGAUGUCUAUAUGAAAAACAACGGUUGAUCAAACUGUGCAUUUUAAAUUGAAGAAAAAUGAGAGUUCAAAAACUGGAAUCGAACCCACAAUAUCUAGAUUGAUAAGUUUAAUCUCUAUGCUCAUCGCCAGCUCCUAAUUUUAAUUGAUAUUGCAUUAAAUUUAUUUCACAUUUAUAUUGUGAUAAAAAUAUUAUUAAAAAUAGAACGUAUUAAU
Apis cerana (Asiatic honeybee) is the source of this 946-nucleotide long non-coding RNA. RefSeq lists it as uncharacterized. The record is from RefSeq and is a predicted model, not a curated record. NCBI's taxonomy places the organism in Eukaryota, Metazoa, Arthropoda, Insecta, Hymenoptera, Apidae.